AUGCAAAUAAUGUUGUUCCUUUGUGCUAAUGGAAUUCCCUUUAAUGUGUUGAGAAGUCCUCAACACUAUGAAAUGGUAGCAGCCAUCCAGAGAGCACCAAAGGGAUACAAACCUCCUGCAUAUGAGAAGGCUAGGACUACUCUUCUAGAUGCAUGUAAGAGAAAGGUGGAGAAUGAUUUGGCUCCGGUUAGACAAACAUGGUAUUCCCAUGGUGUCUCUGUUGUUUCUGACGGAUGGACAAAUAUGAAGAACCAUCCAUUAAUCAACGUAAUAGCAUCGAAUAGCUGUGGUUCAAUGUUUCUGUACGCAGAAGACUUCUCCGGAGAAGAGAAGACAGGUGAAGCCAUUGCACAAUUCUUACUGCAAGCCAUUGAGGAGAUUGGCCCUUCCAAUGUCCUUCAGGUCAUCACUGAUAAUGCAUCUAAUUGCAGAGUUGCGGGUGAAGAAAUUGAGAAAGUGCAUAAGCAUAUAUUUUGGUCUCCAUGUGUGGUUCACACACUGAAUCUAGUAUUCAAAGAUUUUGCAAAAAAAAGUUUGCUUGGAUGGUUGAUACAUACCAGACUGGGAAAGCAAUUGUGA
This 579-nucleotide ribosomal RNA is filed under the name Triticum aestivum (bread wheat). RNAcentral's name for it is "partial small subunit ribosomal RNA". The record is from RNAcentral. Lineage: Eukaryota; Viridiplantae; Streptophyta; Magnoliopsida; Poales; Poaceae.